RNAcentral lists this ribosomal RNA (445 nucleotides) under uncultured bacterium. Its description in RNAcentral is "partial 16S ribosomal RNA". It matches the Rfam family "Bacterial small subunit ribosomal RNA", at positions 29 to 523 of the family's 1533-position model. The record is from RNAcentral.
AACGAACGCUGGCGGCAGGCUUAACACAUGCAAGUCGAGCGCCCGCAAGGGAGCGGCAGACGGGUGAGUAACGCGUGGGAAUCUACCUAGUUCUACGGAACAACACAGGGAAACUUGUGCUAAUACCGUAUACGCCCUACGGGGGAAAGAUUUAUCGGAAUUAGAUGAGCCCGCGUUGGAUUAGCUAGUUGGUGGGGUAAUGGCCUACCAAGGCGACGAUCCAUAGCUGGUCUGAGAGGAUGAUCAGCCACACUGAGACUGAGACACGGCCCAGAGUCCUACGGGAGGCAGCAGUGGGGAAUAUUGGACAAUGGGCGAAAGCUUGAUCCAGCCAUGCCGCGUGAGUGAUGAAGGCCUUAGGGUUGUAAAGCUCUUUCAGUAGGGAAGAUAAUGACGGUACCUACAGAAGAAGCCCCGGCUAACUUCGUGCCAGCCGCCGCCGUAA